CCUACGGGUGGCAGCAGUGAGGAAUAUUGGUCAAUGGGCGCAAGCCUGAACCAGCCAAGUAGCGUGAAGGAUGACGGCCCUACGGGUUGUAAACUGCUUUUAUAAGGGAUUAAAGUGCGUUACGUGUGCUUUUUUGCAUGUACUUUAUGAAUAAGGACCGGCUAAUUCCGUGCCAGCAGCCGCGGUAAUACGGAGGGUCCGGGCGUUAUCCGGAUUUAUUGGGUUUAAAGGGAGCGUAGUAGGGUUGUCAAGUCUGUUGUGAAAGUUUCGGGCUCAACCGUGACAUUGCAAGGGAUACUGGCAGCCUUGAGUACGGGUGAGGUAGGCGGAAUUCGUGGUGUAGCGGUGAAAUGCUUAGAUAUCACGAAGAACCCCGAUUGCGAAGGCAGCUUGCUGAACUGCCACUGACAUUGAUGCUCGAAAGUGUGGGUAUCAAACAGGAUUAGAUACCCCUGUAGUC
Molecule: ribosomal RNA, 460 nt
Filed under: uncultured bacterium
Lineage: Bacteria
Description: partial 16S ribosomal RNA
Rfam family: Bacterial small subunit ribosomal RNA
Source: RNAcentral